UAUCACCUCUCACCUUUCAGACCACUGGAGAUCAGAAAGCGUGAUGACAACAACCUGGUAUAACUUCCUGAUUUUCAAAACUGUACUGUGGUUAAGAUGUUAACAUCUGAGGAAGCUCGGCGAACAACUCAGAAAAAUAAGGCACAGCUCAAAGGCCGUUCCCUCCACUCAAGUCUUGCCUAUGUGCAUCAGCUGGCAGCGAGAGACCCACCUGGACAGCAGCCUUAAAGAAAGAGGUCUAUUUGUGGGCUUUGAUGAAGAAGAAACGGCUGCCUGUAUUUUUAGCUCACAAAUCAACUUUUAAUUCUUCUCGUUCUACAAAUAGGAAGUAACAUUCCACAAAGUAGAAGCAAUAAAAAUUAAGAUGUU
This is a long non-coding RNA of Symphalangus syndactylus (siamang), 369 nucleotides long. RefSeq lists it as uncharacterized. Lineage: Eukaryota; Metazoa; Chordata; Mammalia; Primates; Hylobatidae. The record is from RefSeq and is a predicted model, not a curated record.